Molecule: long non-coding RNA, 1992 nt
Organism: Arachis duranensis
Lineage: Eukaryota; Viridiplantae; Streptophyta; Magnoliopsida; Fabales; Fabaceae
Exons: 5
Source: RefSeq, a predicted model, not a curated record
AAGCUGAAAAUGUCGCUAAUGUUCAAUUUUGAUUAUAUUCUAUCACCUUCAAUUUCGAUAGUGAAGGUUUGAAGCCUUGAUUCAAAGGUAAGAAGAGAUAGUUUUCAAGUUUAUUGGCUGAAUUAAGAAAUUUGGGUGCCGUGCAGUUAACUUGUUUCUUUUUUAGCAUUUAUCAGUCGUUAAUUAUUGUCUAUGUUCUCAGUUUAGCAAUUUUAUUGUGUUUGGCAUAAAUUAGUGUGACCCAUUAUCUAUCAUCUCUGUUUGUACUGUGUUUUUCAUUUUAUUCGCUAACCGUUUAUAAACUUGAAUUUAUGAUCUAUAAUAGUCACUUUGUGAAUUUGAAACAUUGGUAAUUGAAUAUAAAUUGAUACAAUUUAUAUUAAGAUUUCUUACACUUGAGUUUUGAAUGUAUCAAAUUUCUAAAUUAAUUGAUAGUUUGAGAUGGAGGGAGUACUUAUUUGGCUUGAGUAAUCAAAUGAUAUGCCCAUUGUUUCAAAAGCUACAUACAUGUGGGGUUUGAUUUUGGAAAAGAAAAGGCAUUGAUUUGGAUGUUUCGUUCUGGUGUUGCUUUCGGUUAAUUAGCUGUGCAGGAUAGGGACCAUAAAUUUCUAAGAAAAGCAGUUGAAGAAGCAUACAAAGGAGUAGAUUCUAGACAUGGAGGUCCUGUUGGUGCUGUUAUAGUUUGCAAUGAUGAAGUAGUAGCUAGUUGUCACAACAUGGUUCUUAGUCAUACGGACCCAACUGCACAUGCAGAAGUUACAGCAAUAAGGGAGCUCAAAUGAACAUUCAUGGAAGAAAUCCAGAGAUAUGCUUGAGCAGGUUGCAAGACAAGGAGAACUCACUGGCUAUAGAAUUCCAUGCCUCCUCAUUGCUGCCAAGGAUGAGUUAACCCCAUAUCCAAGGACAGUUCAAGAUUCAGUUAAGGUGACUCAGGAAUUAGGAAUAGAGGCAUUUUGGAAAACUUCCUUAUUCUGUGCUCAUUUUGGAAACUGCCUUAUUCAGUUUAUUUGGGGGUGAAGAAUGGUAUAGUACUUUAUUGUAUGUGAAGAAAGGUUUUACUCUUUCUUACCAAGCAACUACUGGUUAUAUUUACUCCGUCUCCUUGUUCUCUGCUAAGCUUGGAAAUUUACUAAUGCUAUUAUUUUUUCUGCCUUCCUUUUUCUUUCUUUAUCUUUUACUGUGGUGGCAAUAUUUGAUUCAAAUGUUGUCUGAUUUAGCCAGUGAUGAUAAUACAGCUUCAUAAAAUGCCAGCUCUUAGAAACCGCUGCUGACGUUGAAGAAAGACGCAGCUUCAAGGAUGCCAAAGUGCUUGUGGGCUCAAAGAAAGAGAGACUAGAUAUCAAGGCUGCCCUAUCCAAUUCAUUUGGUUUUGGGGACCACAAUUCUUCAAUCAUAUUUGCUCCGUAUAAGUGGAUGAAUACAUGUUUCAGAAUAAUACCUUCCCUACCAUUAUACAGAAGUUACUAAGGUAGCCAGGCAAUUGUUACACGCAUGAUCAAAGUCAUGAAUUGGAUGAAAAUAUAAGUGGAAAUGAUUGGAGCAGUAACUCUUGAGGACAUUGUUGAGAGAUGGUUUCAUGGUUUAGAUUGUCUGGCCGAGAUACAUGGUGGAGCCGGUUCUAUCCACCGAUGAAGAACAUGAAUGGCUGCUAUUGCCUUUAUAGAGUAGGACUUGACCCACUUUGAUGUGACUCUUAAAUAAACCCACUUGGUGGUAUAUAUAAGCUCUUCUGUUUUAUUUAUCCCCUAUGUACCCAAAUAGUUUGUGCAAAAACAAAUUGCAAUUUAUUUUUUCGCUGCCUUGUUCUAUUGCCCUAAAACCAGACCAUUUAGGGAGAAGGGAUGAUUUUAAUCUCUCAGGAAAUGCCUCUUUAUUAUUAAUUAUUGUUUAUAUUGUCGUUCAGACAAGCAGGGGGAGUAUUGGAAAAUAAUACUCUUAUUCGUUUUUCUUGUGCUCUAAAUAUCAAAGACAAAUAACAUUUUCUUGAAAGUA